GUUUUGUUGGUUGGUUAA
This 18-nucleotide small nuclear RNA is filed under the name Arabidopsis thaliana (thale cress). RNAcentral's name for it is "snRNA_08688". The record is from RNAcentral. Lineage: Eukaryota; Viridiplantae; Streptophyta; Magnoliopsida; Brassicales; Brassicaceae.